RNAcentral lists this ribosomal RNA (427 nucleotides) under uncultured bacterium. Its description in RNAcentral is "partial 16S ribosomal RNA". It matches the Rfam family "Bacterial small subunit ribosomal RNA", at positions 354 to 796 of the family's 1533-position model. The record is from RNAcentral.
GUGAGGAAUAUUGCACAAUGGGCGAAAGCCUGAUGCAGCAACGCCGCGUGAGUGAUGAAGGCCUUUGGGUCGUAAAACUCUGUCCUUGGGGAAGAAAAAAAUGACGGUACCCUUGGAGGAAGCCCCGGCUAACUACGUGCCAGCAGCCGCGGUAAUACGUAAGGGGCAAGCGUUAUCCGGAAUUAUUGGGCGUAAAGAGUGCGUAGGUGGUUUUGUAAGCGUAGGGUGAAAGGCAGUAGCUCAACUAUUGUUAGCCCUGCGAACUGUGAGACUUGAGUGCAGGAGAGGAAAGUGGAAUUCCUAGUGUAGCGGUGAAAUGCGUAGAUAUUAGGAGGAACACCAGUGGCGAAGGCGACUUUCUGGACUGUAACUGACACUGAGGCACGAAAGCGUGGGUAGCAAACAGGAUUAGAAACCCGGGUAGUCC